Molecule: ribosomal RNA, 28 nt
Filed under: Platanus orientalis
Lineage: Eukaryota; Viridiplantae; Streptophyta; Magnoliopsida; Proteales; Platanaceae
Source: RNAcentral
CUCCUGGGAAGUCCUGGUGUUGCACCCC